RNAcentral lists this ribosomal RNA (483 nucleotides) under uncultured bacterium. RNAcentral describes it as "partial 16S ribosomal RNA". It matches the Rfam family "Bacterial small subunit ribosomal RNA", at positions 30 to 507 of the family's 1533-position model. The record is from RNAcentral.
UUGAACGCUGGCGGCAGGCCUAACACAUGCAAGUCGAGCGGAUGAAGGGAGCUUGCUCCUGGAUUCAGCGGCGGACGGGUGAGUAAUGCCUAGGAAUCUGCCUGGUAGUGGGGGAUAACGUCCGGAAACGGGCGCUAAUACCGCAUACGUCCUGAGGGAGAAAGUGGGGGAUCUUCGGACCUCACGCUAUCAGAUGAGCCUAGGUCGGAUUAGCUAGUUGGUGGGGUAAAGGCCUACCAAGGCGACGAUCCGUAACUGGUCUGAGAGGAUGAUCAGUCACACUGGAACUGAGGCACGGUCCAGACUCCUACGGGAGGCAGCAGUGGGGAAUAUUGGACAAUGGGCGAAAGCCUGAUCCAGCCAUGCCGCGUGUGUGGAGAAGGUCUUCGGAUUGUAAAGCACUUUAAGUUGGGAGGAAGGGCAGUAAGUUAAUACCUUGCUGUUUUGACGUUACCAACAGAAUAAGCACCGGCUAACUUCGUG